ACAACACAGCAGCCGUCGUCAGCUAACCUGCCCGAUGUCCAUUUGAAAUUCUGCACCCCAACUUCUGCCCUCAGCCCCAAGGUCGCGUGUGCAAGGGAAGUACAAGCCAGACAUGAAGUGCGCGGCCCUGCAACCCGCCAUAUGCCUUCCACCCAUGACAGAGCUCCGCACUCUUUCACGAGUCUGAGGGAGCAGCGUAAUUAAUACACCACCCUCCGAGCAGGCUGGGGACGGAAAACCAAUGACCACCUGCACCCAAAUGCCUCACACAGCUGUCGAAUCUCUCACUUCGCCGUCCGCAGAGAAGCUGUCCACACUAUGCUUUGUACCAGUGAGGCCGAGGACAUGGGACAGCCCUCACUAUGCACCAGGCCCGACCGGGAAUGCUUGUCACGCAUCAGCUCACGGACCUGCACCGCUUGGGGGACGCGGAGCCCACCAGGAUGCCCGUUCUCCAGGUGGCGCAACUGGACGCCCAGAGAGGUCGUGGAACCUGCUUCAGGUUGCACAGCUCGGAAUGCAGGCGGCAGCCUGUGAACUGGUGAACGGAGCCUCAGCGUCCGGAAACCAAUGCCGACCCGUCUCAAGGCUACGUCCCUUGGGAAGCUCCACGAGUCCCCCGUCCCUUUCCUGUAAACUGGGGACCCACGUACCCGGCAUAUUUCAUUUGUUUAUUGGAGACCGAGAGAGCAGAAGCAAGGGGAGAAGCAGGCUGUGGGAGACAAAGCAGCAGGCUUCCCACUGAGCACGGACUCCAUUCCGGGACCCUGGGAACAUGACCCGAGCCCAAGGCAGACGCUUCACCCACGGAGCCACCCAGAUGCCCUACACCUGGGUGAUUUUCAUCCCCCAAACCCGUAACUACAUUCACGUGUCUACCAUCCGUCCUAUUCCAAAUGGCGCUGACGACAGCGCGUCCUCCUCGGGAAGGCCACAGGGGCCCAAACACCUGCCGUGACCCUCGGAACAGAGCAGACACCGCAGCGGACGCAAACACACCCCAUAACGGACACCCAACCCCGCUCAGGAUCCCACUGAUGCGAUGCCUGCUAAGCUGCGUAGACAGCUUUGUGAGUCUGGACCUGCCCUGUGCUGUCCCCUGUGCUGGGGGUUACAGAGAGCAAGGACACGGCAAGCCAACCGGGUUUUUUUUUUUUCUUUUUUUCUUUUACGUUUAUUUAGAGUGAUGAAAAUUUAUGUAUGAGAGGUACAGGAAAAAAAUACAAACUAGAUGGAUGUACGUCCUUAUAAAUGCGUCCAUAGCAUGUCGGUCUGAUUGCAAAGGUGCAAACGCGUGUGUCCGUGCACGCCCACACGCAUUCACACACGCCUUCAACCCCCGUCACGAGAAACCCAGCACCGAAACUCACAUCCAGGAAACCUCGCGCGCGAGGACAUUCCCGUCCUGGGAGGAAUGUCGGGCGGCCGUCUUGAAACGACUCUAGUCACCCAUGCAUCCCGGACGCGAGACCCCACAUCGAGAUUCUGGGCUGCAAAUCCCUUUGGGUUUCUGGAACGCUCUCUUUAGGGCUUUCUGCAAUCGGCACCCCUCCUGUGGACUAGGUCUGUAAGCCUGCAUAUUUGGGAUUUUUCUGGGUCCUCUCCACGAGAUGCAGAGGGCAUUAAUUGUUUUUAUUCUGAUAUUUAGGGCAAAGCCCAAAAGUGCUCUAAGCAUGUACCUAAGUCGAAGGAACCUAUACCCAUAAGCCCCACCUGGCCUUUUUCCUUUCCCCCCAAAUGUUAGUAAAAUAGAAACAAACAGAUAGUCUGCAUUUCAGAUGCUUGGACAUUUAAGGUUUCCUAUUACGGAUCUUAAAAAAAAAAAAAAAGCAUACACUAAGAAAAAUGAUGGCCUCGCACAAAGGACAGACACCUACAGGGCAUCACAUGGAAACUGAUACGAGAGGACCGUCAAGAGACACACAUCGCGAUCGCUGUCCCCUGUUUUCCCAGAAAUCCCGAAACCUUAAGAUUUCACAGGAAAAGGAAAAGCAUCCUAAGGCCGCUUCCCCCACCCCUGCCCCCCGCCUCCCGCCCCCGAGAUGGCUUGCACUCGAGCAACUGUGCAUGUACAAUCCCGAAAGCCAGCCUCGGCACGUGCAGGUCACGGGCAGGGCAGAGAGGGCUGAUCCAAGCCGUCCCCAGGGGUAACAAUCCCGCAUCCCACAAGAGCCAAACCAGCGGGCACUGGAGGGCACUGGCCCUUGGAUGGAGAUUCAUCCUGCACCAAACUUCCCCCCAGAGCUUCCUGGAAACCAUCCCCCACCCCCAGUGGUGUUCCCGAUACCCCUGAAGAAGACAGCACCCAUGUCCUGGGACCCUGCACUGUGCUUUGGGGGGACACGCAGGGGUCACCCACAUGCACAUCCUGCAGGCCGAGGUAGCGCUGGGAACCCAAUCCAGAGUCGGCAUCUGUCCACGUGCGCGAUCGAACCAUCAGAGGAAGGAAGAAUCGUUGUUCAACCCGAAGAGGAACCCAGUCAAGCUCAGGAAUGCACUGUGUCCCGCGGACUGGGGAUGCUUUCUGGGCCAAACUGAAGCCACGUCAGGGCGGCGGGUGACGUCGACGAUGAAAGGAAGCGUCCCAGGAACGGCCAACGGCAUUCCCGUCUACACCGAGCGUCUCCCCAAGCGACCGCUGGAUCUCCCAACCCUCACACGUGUGCUGGUUCUGGAAGGGAAGACAGGGAACAGCAUGUCACACCGAGGGUGAACUGACCCACUAUGUCUUUUGGGGUCACAGCUAAUUUUGGCACAACCCCCUUUAUGGAUGUGGCUCCAUUAACCUUCAGAACCUCAGAAACGGGAGCUUUUAUUACUUGCAGUCGAGCAAAUAAAGCCAAAGCGCCACGCUCAAACAGUCCACCUGCUGUCCUGUAUGUGGCCCCAGAAGUGUGUCCCCAGAAGGUGUGGCAACUUCAAAGGGGGGGCUGUUGCACACGUCCAGUUCCACAGGUUGUGCACUGCAACACAUCCCCCUCCAACUUGCCAAGACAGAAUGUCACAAGUCCUUCUGCCGACCGGGGACCUCCCGGACCCAACCUUACAGCUGGGCAAAGUCGCUGUGAGGGGGUAGAGCCAAGCUCUCUGUAAUGCUGAGACCCUCCCCCACAGCCACGUCUCGGACGAAAGCCUAGAUGGAACCACCGUGGUCAUACGUGCUAGACGGUUUGCAAGUCUGGCAGCCAGCAAGACCAGGUAGCCCCGACAUGAGUCCUGCCCAUCUUCAGAGGGUCCCCUACUCCCGUGACAGGAGGUGUGCCUGACUGGGGUCUCAGGACCCUAGUUUUACAGACAGGCAGACAAACGUGGUGUCCAUGGGACCCAGGGACGUCAUCCGUGAAGAAGAGGUAGUGGAGGGGACGUCUGAGGGCUCAGUCGGUGAACCCUCAGGCCACCGUCUCAAGGUCCGGGGACUGAGUCCCACAUCGCACAGGGCUCCUUGCUCGGCGGGGAAACUGCUUCUCCCUCUCCCCCUGCACGUCCCCCGGCUCCUGCUGGCCCUCUCUUGUCCUCUCUCAAAUAAAUAAGUAAACUCUUAAAAUAAAUAAAUAAAUAAAAGAGUCACUGAAAAACUAGUCGGGAUGUUUCUCUAGUCUCCAAAGAAGCAAAGAGAGCGUCCAGAUGGGAAGAAACAAAACAACAAGAAAAAUCAAACAAAAAAGGCCACCAUCUCCGAUACACAGGGAGACCGUGAUCCAUACUGAAAAACAACGCAAAGCAAACCAAACAAACAAACAAAAAAAUGAAAACAAAACAAAACAAAAACAAAACAAAAAACCCUUUAGCUGUAAAAAAAUAAAUAAAUAAAAAUAAAAAACUAAAAACAAAAACGAUAAAAACCCAAUUCAGGUCUACACUGAUGGGUUCCGAAACGCCCGCGUAUCCAUGUGGAAAGAGGAACCCAAAGUCACGCCAUGUGUCUGUGAUGGUCCACGAAUGCCCAGACAUCUGAGGGGUUUUCCAGAGGCUCAGUUUCCCCCCAGGCUUUUUGGGGCGUGGGGAGUAGGGUGAGGAGUAGGAGGGGCGGGUGUGGUGUAGACCCGAGCUCCCCAGGGUCUGGAUUUGGUCAGUACUGCCCGUCCGCCAGCAGAGGGAGGCCCCGGGCAGGUUUUGGGAUUUGUGCAAGCCUCCCUCAAACACCCUUCGGUAGGGACACAAAGGAGACGGGGUGAGUGCACCCCACACACCCCAGAUGGAGUCCUUCCAGGCUGUCUGCUGUCGGGACCACAUGUCAACACUCCCUCAGCUCACCUCUGUCCCCUACAGCCCUCUCUGUCCCUGGACCCUCCCUGCAAACAGGUCCUCAGCCCAACACCUGCCACCUUCGCCCCCUAAGGAGGUGUGAUUCUCCAAACCUAGGAUCCUGGAUUCCCCACCCCUAAAAAAAAAAAUCCUGAACUAGGAAGCCACAGUGGCCUGCCACCCAUUUCCCAGGGGGGGAAAUUUGCAGGAAUUCAACAGAAAACCUUCCAAGUCUGUCCGUCCUUACUUUUGUUUUUGGAGAGAAAAACAAACACAGCAGGUUCCACCGAACCAGUUCCCAAGUCCCUUAGGAUCCACAGAAACGGUGUCAGCCCACCUGAUGGCAACCCCAAUAGCAUUUCAGUCUACAUGCGUGACUGGCAGAAACACCCACUCAUGCCGAUCCCAAAGCUGCUUAAAUAAUAAUAAAAGAAAAAGCAUUCCCCCCUUGAAGACCCAACUUAACACCACAUCCUGAGGCGACGCUCCUCUAUGGGGCGAACCCAGAAAGAACCCAGCCCAGCGACAGGCUCCAGGAGGUGUCUGCACAGAGCCCCAAACUUGCCGUUCGUCCUCAAACAGUUCCUCAUGCGGUUGCGUUGGCAGUAGCCGGCCGCGGCACCCACCAGCGUGACCACCAGCACGGACACGACCGGAGACACGAUUUUCGCUACCGUGUUACCUGCGGGAUGGAGACACCAAAGAGGGGCUCAGGAAACAGCACGGCCCGCGAGGGCGGCGAGUGUUGCAAAUUAUCCCACCAUCUCCGCUCGGGGACUUCCCAACCUUAAAUGCACGGAGUGGGGGGUAGGGAGAGGGGAAUAUAAGUAUAAAAAUAAAGAAAAAGAGGGGUACUUGGGUGGCUCAGGGGGUUAAAGCCUACGCCUUUGGCUCAGGUCAUGAUCUCAGGGUCCUGGGAUCGAGUCCCGCAUCGGGCUCUCUGCUCAGCGGGGAGCCUGCUUCCUCCUNNNNNNNNNNNNNNNNNNNNNNNN
This 5237-nucleotide long non-coding RNA is filed under the name Mustela putorius furo (domestic ferret). Its description in RNAcentral is "lncRNA (ENSMPUG00000028009.1)". Lineage: Eukaryota; Metazoa; Chordata; Mammalia; Carnivora; Mustelidae. The record is from RNAcentral.